GCAAGUCGAAUGUUGCAGCAAUGUAGACAUGGCGAACGGCUGAGUAACACGUGGGUACUUACCUUUGAGUUCCGCAUAACCUGCCGAAAGGCAGGAUAAUUCGGGAUAUUCUCGCAAGAGGAAAGAUUUAUCGCUCAAAGAGAGGCCUGCGCCCGAUUAGCUUGUUGGUGAGGUAACGGCUUACCAAGGCACUGAUCGGUAGGGGGCUUGAGAGGGUGACCCCCCAGACUGGGACUGAGACACGGCCCAGACUCCUACGGGAGGCAGCAGUGAGGGAUUUUCCACAAUGGACGAAAGUCUGAUGGAGCAAUGCCGCGUGAAGGAAGAAGGUUUUCGGAUUGUAAACUUCUUUUAUAGGGGACGAUUAUGACGGUACCCUAUGAAUAAGGCGCUGCUAACUACGUGCCAGCAGCAGCGGUAAUACGUAGGCGCCAAGCGUUAUUCGGAUUUACUGGGCGUAAAGGGCCCGCAGGUGGAUUAACAAGUCUGACGUUAAAUAUCUCGGCUCAACCGAGGGAAGGUGUCGGAAACUGUUAGUCUAGAGGCCGGUAGAGGUUGUCGGAACUUAUCGAGUAGGGGUAAUAUCCGUUGAUACGAUAAGGAACACCAAAGGCGAAGGCAGACAACUGGGCCGGCCCUGACACUCAUGGACGAAAGCGUGGGGAGCGAACGGGAUUAGAUACCCCGGUAGUCCACGCCCUAAACGAUGGAUACUAGUCAUUGGUGGCUUCGACCCCCCCAGUGACGAAGCUAACGCGUUAAGUAUCCCGCCUGGGGAGUACGGUCGCAAGACUAAAACUCAAAGGAAUUGACGGGGACCCGCACAAGCGGUGGAGCAUGUGGUUUAAUUGGAUGGUAAGCCGGGCACCUCACCAAGAUUUGACAUCCUAUGAAAGGCACCAGAAAUGGAGCCCCUCGCAAGACAUCAGAGACAGGUGCUGCACGGUUGUCGUCAGCUCGUGUUGUGAAAUGUACCGUUAAGUCGGAUAACGAGCGCAACCCCUCUUGCCAGUUACAAGUGUCUGGCGAUACUGCCGUGGUUAACACGGAGGAAGGUGGGGAUGACGUCAAAUCAGCGUGGCCUUUAUAUCUUGGGCGACACACGUGCUACAAUGGGUAGGUCACAAUGGGGCGCUAAGCCGUAAGGCGGAGCCAAACCCAUCAAAACUACCCCCAGUUCGGAUUGAGGUCUGCAACUCGACCUCAUGAAGCCGGAAUCGCUAGUAACCGCAAAUCAGCCAUGUUGCGGUGAAUACGUUCUCGGGUCUUGUACACACCGCCCGUCACACCACGAAAGCUAGAAACACCCGAAAUC
RNAcentral lists this ribosomal RNA (1315 nucleotides) under uncultured bacterium. RNAcentral's name for it is "16S ribosomal RNA". It matches the Rfam family "Bacterial small subunit ribosomal RNA", at positions 57 to 1428 of the family's 1533-position model. The record is from RNAcentral.